GAAAGUGUACUAUAUAAAUCGUGGUCACCGCUCGGUUCGUUAGGGUUCCGAACGGCCGCCGAUUUCGGAGAACUCAUCGUGUAGAUCAGCACGCCAUGGUGAACGUUCCGAAGACGAAGAAAACGUACUGCAAGAACAAGGAGUGCAAGAAGCACACCCUGCAUAAGGUGACUCAGUACAAGAAGGGGAAGGACAGCAUUUCAGCUCAAGGCAAGAGGCGUUAUGACCGGAAGCAGUCUGGUUAUGGUGGG
This is a long non-coding RNA of Asparagus officinalis (garden asparagus), 251 nucleotides long. RefSeq lists it as uncharacterized. The record is from RefSeq and is a predicted model, not a curated record. NCBI's taxonomy places the organism in Eukaryota, Viridiplantae, Streptophyta, Magnoliopsida, Asparagales, Asparagaceae. The transcript has 2 exons.